GUUUUUAUAGUUUAUUUUAAAACAUUGGUCUUGUAAACCAAAAAUAAGUUGAAUCUUUAAAAACU
This 65-nucleotide transfer RNA is filed under the name Losaria neptunus. RNAcentral describes it as "trnA-Thr". It matches the Rfam family "tRNA". From Rfam's summary of the family: Transfer RNA (tRNA) molecules are approximately 80 nucleotides in length. Their secondary structure includes four short double-helical elements and three loops (D, anti-codon, and T loops). Lineage: Eukaryota; Metazoa; Arthropoda; Insecta; Lepidoptera; Papilionidae. The record is from RNAcentral.